UCUUUACAUUAUAUUAUAUCGAAAGAAAGGGUUAUAAGAUUUUUUUUUCUUUAGGGGGGCUUAACCAUUACAGAAGUUUUACAUACUUUUUUAAUCUUUUUAUUAUUAUUAUUAUUAUUAGCCUAAUAUAAGACAUGCUUGGACACACAUACAAUAUGUUCUUAAGUGUUUGUGCUUAUUUAAUAAGUUUAUUUGACUAAAAAUGUGAUCUCAUGUUUCCAUGGCGCGCAGAAACCGAGAUGAACCGCUUCGGUUUGGAGCUGUGAAACAGAAACAGAAAAUCGUGCCGUCGAUUUCCGUGCACAAACCUAGUUUCCCAACAGAGGGAACGUGAAGUGAAAGACAGGAAGAGAAGAAGAAACAUGAUGUACUGAUUAGAGCUCUCAAAGAAGAUAAAAGCAGCUCAGAGUUCUUUUGUUCACGACGAGAUGCCGUGUGCGCGCGCAUUUGCUUUCGUUUAAACGCAUUGUUUAACCACAAAGGCGCAGAGCUCUUUGUUUGUGUGUGUUUCUCAUUACAGAUCCUCUUCAGAACUUCAGAACGCGCUCUUAACGUCUGGAUCCCUUCAGGACUGUUUCUCGUUACACGGCUCUUGUUAUAUUUCACCCUCCGCUCUGCUUCAUUAUCUGGUUGUUUGUGUUCUUCGGGGACAGACUCUUGGCCGGUAAUUGGCUCGGUUGUGACCGGACGGCACAAUGACCGCCACGCAGGCCGGCCAAUCGGAAGGCAGGAGCAGAGUUCUCAGGCAGCUGAUUGGCUGGCUCGGUCUCAGCGCGGUCUCCAGGUAGCGAGUGAACGUGGGAGAGUAUGUGGCUGUCUGCGGAGGGUGGAGUCGGAGAGAGUGAAGGAUGGAGGGCUAAUUCAGCAGCGUUCAUUAAGACUUUGGCAGUGAAUUUGGACCAAACAACCCAAAACGUAAUGUUAAGAGUCUCUCAGAACUCUCAACAACAGUUCUUGGCCUCUCUUCCUCUCACAGCAAGUUUCAGUGUCGGUUUCAGAAUGCUUUGAAUGAGUUUUACAAGAAAUAUUGCCAUAUUCUUCAGUCUUUCUGCACAGGGUAUGGAUACAAGCGGCCGAAAAGAUGGUUAUGAGACACGGUGAUGAAAAAAAUAUGAAAUGUUUCCAAUCUCUCUCUGGCUCCUGGAGCUUUGAGCUCUUUAAAGAUCACUACAGUGCCUCAGUUCAAUCGGUAUGUGAACCAAUCAUCGUUUCUUCUGUACAAGAAACACUAAAGAAACAUCUUAAGUCCCGUGUUAGAGAUGAUGAUUAUGAUGAGAGACAGAGAUGCUUUGACUCCAGCCGAUCUGAAGAUAACAGACUGACCUCAAUAAGAAAAUCUCUCCCAUUAGUUAGAUGAUCUCAGUGUUGACCUUCUUUUUUUUUUUCUUUUUUUUUACAGGAAAUAAAUGUCAGCUGAGACUUGAUUUUGUCCAUGGGGGAACUGAUGGAUGCAUCGCGAGUUCAUGUUGACUUAAAAAAUAAACUCGCUUUGGCACUGGACAAGUCUAUAUAGCUUGAGGUUAAACAUAGAGUGCAUCAAAGACAUUUAUUAAAAGAUUUUGCUCUCAAAUAAAUGCUCUCGAUCUCAACACCGAGUUUCAGCUUUACAUACUGAAUGUCAUGUCCUCUUUUGAGAUGAAAUAGAUCAAAUUAGUGUGUGUUUGUCUCAAGUUUCCCCUCAGGCUCUGUCUGCUGAUCUGACCACUGUGAACCAAGGAUUUAGUGUGUGUGUGUGUGUGUGUGUGUGUGUGUGUGUGUGUGAGAGAGAUGAUAAAUAGUAAAUGUGUCACUUUAUGUCCAUGAUGCUGUGAACUUGUUUCAGACUACAGGUCAUCUUAGCCUGAGGAUGUGACAUGUCAUGUGAGUAACCAGAGUGACUGACUGAUAAAGACACAUUGUUUCUUCUGUCCUAUAAAAGUGCCUGAAUAAUGAGGUUUCACGAGUUGGACCUUUGAAUUUAGGCAUUUUCAACAUUUUUAUUAUUUUAUUUUAUUUUGACUCGUAAUUUUGUUGUUUGAUUUAAUUCAAAAUAA
Long non-coding RNA from Puntigrus tetrazona (Sumatra barb), 2033 nucleotides. RefSeq lists it as uncharacterized. The transcript has 3 exons. Lineage: Eukaryota; Metazoa; Chordata; Actinopteri; Cypriniformes; Cyprinidae. The record is from RefSeq and is a predicted model, not a curated record.